This 823-nucleotide long non-coding RNA is filed under the name Marmota monax (woodchuck). The record is from RNAcentral. Lineage: Eukaryota; Metazoa; Chordata; Mammalia; Rodentia; Sciuridae.
CUGGCAUCAUGAGCUCAGUAGAUGGUUUAACAGCAUCAACAACCAAAUUUACCUUUGUCUUCAGGUUAUAAAUGAAGAAUAGGUUAGCAACUACCCCUUAGUCCUGAUUAUAUUAUGGACAGCCCAAAGUAUUAAAAAUGUAUAAGAAAAAUAGAGGGAGUCCAAAAGGGAUAUAUGGUACAUAGUGAGAAGUCUAAUAUUUAUGUAGCUUGAGUCCCAGAAAGACAAGAGAGAGAGAAUAAGCAGAAGCUUUAUUUGAAAGGAUAAUGGCCAAGGACUUUUCUAAAGUGACCAAUGAAAAUAAGCCACAGAGUCAAGAAAUGCAUUGAAUUCUUUGUAGGAUUAAAACAUUAAGAAGUAGGCAUAUCAGUAUAAAACUGCUAAAAUCCAAAAACAAAUAAAAUCUUGAAAGCAGCAGGGGUGAGUUGGGAAGAACAAUGAGGAAGGGGACAUUAUUGGCCAAACAGCAACAAUGACAUUGAUAGUUGACUGCUCAAUAGAAAUGAUAAAAGCCCAAAACAACAAAACUACAUCUUAAAUAAAAGAUCAGCUGCUAUUUCUAAAAUUCUAUAUUUGCAAAAAUAACCUUUAAGCAUGAAGGCAGUAUAAAGACAUUUAUAGAAUUUCAUGAAUUGAGGGAGUUCCCCCCCCCAAAAAAAGAAGAAAGAAACACCAAAGAGAUUUCUUCAAAUGAAUGGAAAAUUAUCCCACUCAGUAAUGAAGAGAUGCAAGAAGGCACAAAGAGUAACAGAGAGAGCAAAUAAAGCUAAAGGAACACUGACCAUGCAAAACAGUAAUAAAACAGUAACACAAAGGAAGGGAG